Molecule: long non-coding RNA, 731 nt
Organism: Cyprinus carpio (common carp)
Lineage: Eukaryota; Metazoa; Chordata; Actinopteri; Cypriniformes; Cyprinidae
Source: Ensembl
CAGAACUGUACCGUUAGGACCACCUUAAAAUUCUCUGCUUCUGCAAAAUAGAAAAUGUGGCUCUAGUAAACUUUAAAUGGGCCAAAGCUCGUAUGGCCACUUCAUUGUGUCUAAGUUUAGCCCUCACUCCUUAGUGACUUUCUAAUGACACUGUGGUGGAGUGUCAGAGGAGCUGAACCCUCUUGGGGUCCCCCGCAGUGCCCCGCUAAAGUGGGCACCUGGGCACAGAUGGGCUGGAUGGGCACUGGCCCUGGUGUCAGCCAUCUUUGUCAGGCUGGAUGAUGGAGCUGAGUCUACCUGAGCACCAACCAGAGCUGUGCCAAGCCCACAGCAGGCUCCCAGGAUGCAACAGAACUAAUGGCCACCAUGAGGAUUCAUCUGCUGUGGAGAGCACUAACACAUCCAUUUCCUGGUGCUGCAUGGGUCCCGGCAUAGAGUCUAAAGUCCACGUGCUGGAGAACAGGACGGCGUCGCUGAAGUGCUGCUGGUCAGAGGUGAUUGAUCAGGAGGAAGAGUAUAGUAAUGGAGUGGUCUUCAAUCCGCUCACAUCUGUGUGUGCUGACAGAGCCCCAGCCAGCAUCCUCAUCCCGCACGCUACAGUCCAUCUGUACAUGGGUACCAGGCGAGCCGGUCCCUGCGCAUGUUCCAUCUCCCUCUGCUACUGCUGCCACCCAAACAGAAGGUCCUUCUGCAGCUGCCCACAGACAGUUCUGCCCAUCCUCAGAGGAGCU